Molecule: ribosomal RNA, 346 nt
Filed under: uncultured bacterium
Lineage: Bacteria
Description: bacterial SSU rRNA
Rfam family: Bacterial small subunit ribosomal RNA
Source: RNAcentral
GGACCCGCACAAGCAGUGGAGCAUGUGGUUUAAUUCGAUGAUACGCGAGGAACCUUACCAGGACUUAAAUGUAAGUUGCAUGAUUCAGAAAUGAAUCUUUCUUCGGACUACUUACAAGGUGCUGCAUGGUUGUCGUCAGCUCGUGCCGUGAGGUGUCAGGUUAAGUCCUAUAACGAGCGCAACCCCUAUCGUUAGUUGCCAUCAAGUAAAGUUGGGAACUCUAGCGAAACUGCCGGUGCAAACCGUGAGGAAGGUGGGGAUGACGUCAAAUCAUCACGGCCCUUACGUUCUGGGGCUACACACGUGCUACAAUGGCCGGUACAGAAAGCAGCCACUAUGCGAAUAG